CGAGUGAAGCGGCAACAGCUCAAAUUUGAAAUCUGGCCUUCUGGUCCGAGUUGUAAUUUGUAGAGGAUGAUUUUGGUUAGGUACCUUCCGAGUUCCUUGGAACAGGACGCCUUAGAGGGUGAGAGCCCCGUACGGUUGGAUGCCGAGCCUUUGUAAAUCUCCUUCGACGAGUCGAGUAGUUUGGGAAUGCUGCUCUAAAUGGGAGGUAAAUUUCUUCUAAAGCUAAAUACCGGCCAGAGACCGAUAGCGCACAAGUAGAGUGAUCGAAAGAUGAAAAGCACUUUGAAAAGAGGGUUAAAUAGUACGUGAAAUUGUUGAAAGGGAAGGAUUUAUGACCAGACCUUUGCCUUGCGGAUCAUCCGGUGUUCUCACCGGUGCACUUCGCUUGGUUGAGGCCAGCAUCAGUUUUGGCGGCGGGAUAAAGACUUCAGGAACGUGACUCCCCCGGGAGUGUUAUAGCCUGCUGUGUAAUACCGCCGCUGGGACUGAGGACCGCGCUUCGGCUAGGAUGCUGGCAUAAUGGUCAUCAAUCACCCGUCUUGAAACACGGACCAAGGAGUCGAACAUUUAUGCGAGUUUUUGGGUGUUAAACCCUCAAGCGUAAUGAAAGUGAACGGAGGUGAGAGCCCUUACGGGUGCAUCAUCGACCGAUCCUGAUGUCUUCGGAUGGAUUUGAGUAAGAGCAUAACUGUUCGGACCCGAAAGAUGGUGAACUAUGCGUGGAUAGGGUGAAGCCAGAGGAAACUCUGGUGGAGGCUCGCAGCGGUUCUGACGUGCAAAUCGAUCGUCAAAUCUGCGCAU
Molecule: ribosomal RNA, 801 nt
Filed under: Microdochium nivale
Lineage: Eukaryota; Fungi; Ascomycota; Sordariomycetes; Xylariales; Microdochiaceae
Description: partial large subunit ribosomal RNA
Rfam family: Eukaryotic large subunit ribosomal RNA
Source: RNAcentral